This 5112-nucleotide long non-coding RNA is filed under the name Sus scrofa (pig). Its description in RNAcentral is "lncRNA (ENSSSCG00015078640.1)". Lineage: Eukaryota; Metazoa; Chordata; Mammalia; Artiodactyla; Suidae. The record is from RNAcentral.
GUUCUGAGGGCUUUGUAACAGCUUGUUUAACAUUUCCCUAAGUCUCACUAUUACUAAUAGCUAUCACUAUUUGUAUCCUUAUUCUUAGAGAGUAAAUUCAAACACAGAGAAGUUAAAUUACCCACCCAAAUCACACAGCUUAUAAGUGGUAGGGCCAGAAUUUAAACCCACACUGUUUGAUUCCCAAGACUGAGGUUUUAAGCACUAUGCUAUGUUGGCAGUCCAUAGCAGAGACAGCACGUGCAUUGGAAGUACUUAAGGGAGAAUGUUGUUUAGCCUGAGAGCCCCAGUUAUGUGAGCCAUUGUAGUAACCCAGAAGGAUUUUCAUCAUUGCACUGUUCACACAUUAGGCUAUCUUUCCCCACAUUUCUUUGCACUGUAUCUAGGGUUGAGCUAUUGUUUUUUCCAACAGUCACAUCUGUGGUGACCAACUUGUCCCAGUUUGUUUGGGACUGAAAGAUUUCCCAGAACAUAGGUGAUCCACUUUUAAAACCAGAACAGUCCUGGACAAGCCAGGACAAAUUGGUUACCUUGGACACAUUUAACCAAAAUAAAAAAUAAGGCACUUUGGGGAAGUUCCCUUGUGGCACAGUGGGUUAAGGAUCCAGCAUGGUGGCAGCUUUGGAGCAGCUCACAACUCCGGUUCCAGUUCAGUUCCUGGCCCAGGAACUUCCACAUGCUGAGGGUGUGGCAAAAAGGGGGUGGAGCUUUGGGAUCAGUUCAGGCCACUUUCAAUCUUACCAACAUAUCUCUACCAAAGAAGGAUAUGAGGACUUAAUCAGUCACUGCUUCCAAGGUACAGCCUGAUUACCAGACAAUCUGCUGUCAGCUAAGGAUUGGUGAAUUCCUAUACAACAUUAGAUUUCUGUUUUGUUUUUCAAAAGCAUUUAAAAUCCUUUUAGGGUAUCCUUCCCCACCUUCAGCUGUUGAUAGGAACACAUCAAUGUCUUUAACUCGUUACAACAAAUGUCUCAUUCAUCAGCUUUCCAGAUACCUUUAUAUUGAGUUUGCUAUAUUGAGAAGAGUUUUCUUAACUCUCCUCUUUACACCUCAGGUAGGACAUGAUGGGGAGGGUUCUUAAUCAAAUGGAAGGCCUCUAGGUAGAGAUCAGCUAUGUGAUGCACAAGUGCAAGGAGGAAAGACCUUGGACCAGUCUCUUCCUACCUUAGGCCAAGCCUGCCUCUCAACAGUUCCUCUCAUUCCUGAGCUUGAAAUGGCCACUGUUAUAGGAAUGCACUGUUAUUUGGGUAGACACCUGCAAGACCUAGGGAUCCAAAAAUGAGAGUGCCCAGACCAGGGUAGAAAGCACAGAGGGUAGUAGUUGUGUGUUGCACUUGCAGGUUCUGAUAAUUUGACAUGAAACAUUAAUGACAUGAUAGCAGAGACAUAUCAAAGCCUAUAGAAAACAUGAUUUACCUCCAUACAAUACCUGUCUAAAAAGUAAAACCUUCAGAACUUGCUAGGGAAGUCCAAUUAGUGAAGAUUAACUAAUUCCUCUUCUUGGCUAUAUGGGGAAAUUUGCAAAGACAAUUAGAAGGAACCAAGAGCAAAAGCAAGAGCCUUGCCAGCUGAUCCUUGCAGCUUCUCUCAUUGGGCAGAAUUAAGUCCUUAAAAAAGCUGGUGCAUCUCAGGGGGAAAGGUUACACUUCAUUCACAGUGAGGAAUUUUUGAGUAGCCUUUUCAGCAAGGUAUAGAGCAAGAGUCAGCAAACUUUCUGUAAAAGGCCCGAUGAUACAUUUUUUUUUUCAGCUUUGUAUACUGUACUGUCUGUCAGAAACACUCAACUUUGCCAUUUUAAUGCAAAAGCAGCCAUAGACAGUAAUAUAAACAAUUAAGCAUGGCUGUGUUCCCACAGAGCUUUAUAAAAGCAGGCAGUUUAUCAGGUUUGGCACCUUGGCCCAAGUUUGCCCACACCUGAUCUAGAGGUUAAAGGUACUUCAAGACAAUUGCCUAACCCUACCACCAUACACAGCAUCAGGCAGAGAGACCACAUUUUCAUGUGAGUUUAUGUGUGUGUAAAAGACAAUUCAUUGUUUUCCUCAUUAUGUAUUUUUUAAACAAGAUAAUUCAGUCAUGUAAAAUAAUAGAUGAAACAUAUUUGUCAUAUUAUCAUUUGAAACAGAAAUAAUUGGUUAGGGAAAUCUGUGUUUAUUUUCUCUUCAGAAAACUGUGGCCACAAUAUACACAACAUGCCAUGGAUUACUUCUGUGCCUAACUUUGAGUGCUUCCUAAAUUCCAAAGUUGUCCCUGGCCACACACACACAUACUGAAUAACACACUGAAUAAUCUUAUAAAUAACUUGACCUUCAUUUCAGCAGCAAAAGAAAUACUUUCCAUUCUACAUUUAUGAAAUAUUUUCCCAUGAAUUUGCAUUUCUUCUUCACAACAGUCAGGAGUGGUAGACAGAAUACAUGGUUAUUCCAAAUUACAUAGCAAUCUAACGUCCAAAGAAGCUAUGCACCUUUGCUUAUAUCACACAAUAAGUUAAAGCCCCGUUCUUGACUUCAAAGCCAAUGUUCUUACCACUAUAGCAAAGACAACUAAAUAUUUUAUAUUAUAUAACUCUAGACUUACAGUAUCAUCUAACAAUGGUGAGUAGACAUAAAGGGGGUUGAUUAACUAGAUAUUAAUUCUCAAGUUAAGAAAAUGUAUUACAAUAACAAAACUCAGUUUGAAAAGUUAUGCAGAGAUAAGCCUGCUGAAGCCUCCUGGAACACAGGUUUUAGGAUCAGAGCCAGGAAAGCCACAUUAUAAGGGAAAGUACCUUAUGCCAUCCAGUAACUAAGUCCCCUUGGAGAGGGUCCAAGGCAUGCCUACCUUAUAAUGAACUCUGAUUUAUGGCAAAUAAUAUUUUAGCGAAAUUUCAGUGUCAGACUUUUCUACUCUGGUUUUGCAAGCAAUGUGGUCUCAAAAGCUGUCAUGAAAUGAAGAUUUUGACAGAUAGGUGAUAACAAAUGAAAAAGCUGCACACAAAUUGCCAUGUUCCAGUGUUGGUAUUCGUUUUAUAAUGCAGAUUACAUUUUCCAAUUCCUACCAAUUUGCAUUUUUCUUAUUUAAAAUAAAAACUUGUGGUAUAGACAAACUGGGGUGAAUUUUAGCAUGAACCAUAAUAAUUUAUGAGCAAUUAUAGAAGCACAUGUACACAGUCUCUGAGUAAUUUGUCUUUCUGCUUGCUGUCAAAUAAAUAAUUUUUGCAUCUUGAAUCUGCCUGUAAUAAUUUUGCUAUGGCGCCAUCACCUAGAGCAAUUUACACUUACUGUUGUUACACCUAUUUGUCUCAUAUCUUGUUACCCAAAAUCCAAUUUUAAAUUCAAGCAAAUGAGAAAAACCACAGUAAUUUGUUGACGUAGUUUCUAAAACAGGCUAGUGGCUUAAGUAGCAAGUUAUUUUACUCACGCGCAAUUCAAAGGGAGCUCAGUCUAUCUAUCAGUUAACAACCAGAGGUUCCACUCCAAACGGGUCAUUUUAAAUAGUUUUAUGUCUCAGGCAAGGAGCACAAAUUCUCAGUCAGAUAGUCUGUUGAGUUUCCUUUCUUAUAUAUGGAAGAAUCAAGUCAGUAGAUGCUCCAGUUUGAAAGCAAAGCAAAUGGGAAAACCUGGUGCCUUUUUCACGACCUCAGAUAAAUCAAAACGAAGUAAUCUAUCUCAAUAAAUGCCCCCCAACCCUCCUUCCCUCCCUUCCUCCUUCUCUUCUUCUAUUCUUCUAUCAUAUAUCUACAGCUUACUUGUUAAAUUCUGGAUGACUAGUUUUGGGAAAGAUGAAAUGAAAGGCAGAUGGAUAAACUUAGAAUGAUAUAUAUUUUAAUUGUAGCUUAUCUUUUUCGUUCCCUAUUUCAAUUGUGCAUGUGUUCUGAAAAGUUUUUCUGUAUAUACAUAUAUAUAUAAAUAUUUAUAUGUAUGUUUGUAUAUAUAUUCACACAAAGUCCAUUUUCACAUUCUUCUCUUGAGUUGUAGCACUGCCCCUAAAUUGUAUAGUCAUCCCUGGAUGUGAUGCAAACAUACCUAUACAAUUUCAUCGUAUCUUAUAACAAAGAUAAUAUGGUAGAAUGCAUCCAGGAUGCCAGAACAGUUUCCACAUCUGCUUGUAUUGGGCUGUGGAAUGAAUGCAGGAACCCAUGAGUCAUCAAACCAACAUUACUCAGAAUCACCCAGGAGAAACUUAGAACUGAAUCACAUAUCCAUAAAUGGAUUGCAGAAAAUAUUUACAAUUCUACCGAUCCUCACUACCAACUUUUGUGGGAAAAGAGGUACACAGGCAACAGAAUUGGUAAAGGCUCUAGGUUAACAGCAAGCGUUCAAAGCAGCUCAGGCCUCAGGUUGGAUCAUUAGGUAAGGCCCUAAUGGAUUAUUUUCUGUGGAAGUAAGCCUUUUUCGUUAAAAACAAAAACAAGUAUGUUGGCUCUUGAAACCAGUUCUAUAUAAUUUUUAACUGACUAACCUUAGGCAAGUCUGUUUCCUCUCAUGAAAAAAAUGGGGAGCUUGGGCUACAUGACCUUUAACAUCUCUUCUAAUUCAAAGUCUGUGAUUUUCUGAUGAGGGCAAAAUAAUCACCUGUCCUCAGGUAUCAGGUUAAGCAACAUGUCAGAGAACAUGACAAGGCUUUGCAGAAAGCAGGGUAGACUACAGUCUAUGUGGAAUGAAGAGCAGCAAUCUGCCAAAAUACUCCACGUGCCUGUCUACAAAUGGCUCUUCUACUGCCCAGCCCUUGGCACUCGAAAUUCCCCUUCUAUGACAGUAAUGUCUUUCUGUGAAAGCAAUGUGUUUCCAAGAGGCCCAUUGGUAAAUUUAGGAGAGUUGCAACCUUUCAGAUCAUUGCCACUGAGUUAGUGCAGAUCUGUUUAUUCCAAAGUGUGUGUGUGGCGGGGGGGGUGGGGAUUCCAGAAGGCAUUUGAUACAGGGCAAGCCUACUGGCUUAUCUUAUUCUCUCAUUCUUCCAUUUUCCCCCUCACCUCUUCCUUCUUAACAUUCUUUUUUUUUUUUUCAUUAUUUUAGUAGUAUAGAAGGCAGAGAAAGACCUCUGGUACUAAUUUUUAUGAAGAGAUGGGGAUUUAUCACUUGCUUGGCUUCUCAGUCUGAAAGGAUAGAUAUGAUAUCAACACUUGAUAUUUUCCCC